RNAcentral lists this long non-coding RNA (877 nucleotides) under Ricinus communis (castor bean). RNAcentral describes it as "long non-coding RNA (RCOM_LNC003706)". The record is from RNAcentral. Lineage: Eukaryota; Viridiplantae; Streptophyta; Magnoliopsida; Malpighiales; Euphorbiaceae.
UUAUAUUUUCCUUUAAUUGCCACUUCAUUUGAGAUACAUGAAUAUUGCCUCAGAUGUUAGAAAAGUUUGUUCGACACCAUACACUAAUGGAUUUCAAUUAUAUUUUGUCAGUUACUAAAGCCUGUAAUUUGUCUUCAGGGCAUGGUGGCAUGGGGGCUAUGAUUGCUGGAGGUGCUGCUGCAGCUGCAGCUGCAUAUGGUGCUCACCACAUCUCUCAUGGUGCUCACCACUCAUCUCAUGGUGCUCCCUUUGGGUAUGGUUCGCACAAACAUGGCAAGUUCAAGCACCAUGGUGGUAAGUUCAAGCACCAUGGUGGCAAGUUCAAGCAUGGGAAGCAUGGGAAGCAUGGAAAACAUGGAAUGUUUGGAGGAAAGUUUAAGAAGUGGAAGUGAAAAGCAUGGUGGUUUCACUGGAUAUGGACUCUUAACUGACUUUGGUGCUGCCGAUUUAAGUUUCUCUGAAUAAACCAUACAUCUGUUUCACAGCCAGAGUUUUUUUUUUCUUCCUUUUGGCCAUCUGUUUAUGUGGAAACUGCUAUAUUAUGAUUACGAUAUAUUGGAAUUGCAGAAUGGUUUUACAAUUUCCAGAUAUUUAGCAUUGAUUAUAUCGACUUUUUUAGAGUCAGUUGAUGACACUGACAUACUGAUAUACUUGCGGUUCUAAUAAGCUAUUUACGGCUGGAUACAAUGCGGAUUCUCCAAGGGUAAAAGACAUAAUGUGGCGAGAAUGAAGCUUAAUUGCAUAAUCAAAGGCUUGGUUCCAGAUGCCUACUUUCGGCAGUUUGUUUAUUGGUUAUUUGAUCAGACAUGCCUUGCUUUGGGAAUUAGUCCUGUUUUAUAUCCCGAAUAUGGACCCUUUAUUUUUUGCGGCGGUGGUG